GGGCCCGCACAAGCGGUGGAGUAUGUGGUUUAAUUCGAUGCAACGCGAAGAACCUUACCUGGGCUCUAAUGCGAGUGACCGCUCCUGAAAGGGAGCUUUCCUUCGGGACACGAAGCAAGGUGCUGCAUGGUUGUCGUCAGCUCGUGCCGUGAGGUGUUGGGUUAAGUCCCGCAACGAGCGCAACCCCUAUCUUUAGUUGCCAGCGAUUCGGUCGGGGACUCUAGAGAGACUGCCUGCGCAAGCAGAGAGGAAGGCGGGGACGACGUCAAAUCAUCAUGGCCUUUAUGCCCAGGGCUACACACGUGCUACAAUGGUAAGGACAAAGGGCAGCGAGCCGGCGACGGUCAGCGAAUCCCAAAAACCUUAUCUCAGUUCGGAUUGGAGUCUGCAACUCGACUCCAUGAAGCUGGAAUC
This 414-nucleotide ribosomal RNA is filed under the name uncultured bacterium. RNAcentral describes it as "bacterial SSU rRNA". It matches the Rfam family "Bacterial small subunit ribosomal RNA", at positions 917 to 1333 of the family's 1533-position model. The record is from RNAcentral.